RNAcentral lists this ribosomal RNA (657 nucleotides) under Salmonella enterica subsp. enterica serovar Oranienburg. RNAcentral describes it as "bacterial LSU rRNA". It matches the Rfam family "Bacterial large subunit ribosomal RNA", at positions 329 to 890 of the family's 2925-position model. RNAcentral also lists the same sequence under 1 other name. The record is from RNAcentral. Lineage: Bacteria; Pseudomonadati; Pseudomonadota; Gammaproteobacteria; Enterobacterales; Enterobacteriaceae.
UUAGUGGAAGCGUCUGGAAAGGCGCGCGAUACAGGGUGACAGCCCCGUACACAAAAGCGCAUGUGCUGUGAGCUCGAUGAGUAGGGCGGGACACGUGGUAUCCUGUCUGAAUAUGGGGGGACCAUCCUCCAAGGCUAAAUACUCCUGACUGACCGAUAGUGAACCAGUACCGUGAGGGAAAGGCGAAAAGAACCCCGGCGAGGGGAGUGAAAAAGAACCUGAAACCGUGUACGUACAAGCAGUGGGAGCCCCACCACUAAGCCAGUGGUGAACUCCACAUACGCAUCCUUUGCUGAGGAUGCGGUUAACGGAGCGAAAGCGACGUUCAACCGCAAAAGAAGCAGAGGGGGCUUAGUGGUGGGGUGACUGCGUACCUUUUGUAUAAUGGGUCAGCGACUUAUAUUCUGUAGCAAGGUUAACCGAAUAGGGGAGCCGGAGGGAAACCGAGUCUUAAUUGGGCGUUAAGUUGCAGGGUAUAGACCCGAAACCCGGUGAUCUAGCCAUGGGCAGGUUGAAGGUUGGGUAACACUAACUGGAGGACCGAACCGACUAAUGUUGAAAAAUUAGCGGAUGACCUGUGGCUGGGGGUGAAAGGCCAAUCAAACCGGGAGAUAGCUGGUUCUCCCCGAAAGCUAUUUAGGUAGCGCCUCGUGAAUU